This 305-nucleotide ribosomal RNA is filed under the name uncultured bacterium. Its description in RNAcentral is "bacterial SSU rRNA". It matches the Rfam family "Bacterial small subunit ribosomal RNA", at positions 337 to 658 of the family's 1533-position model. The record is from RNAcentral.
CCCUACGGGACGCAGCAGUGGGGAAUAUUGCACAAUGGGGGAAACCCUGAUGCAGCAACGCCGCGUGAAGGAAGACGGUUUUCGGAUUGUAAACUUCUGUUCUUAGCGAAGAAGAAUGACGGUAGCUAAGGAGCAAGCCACGGCUAACUACGUGCCAGCAGCCGCGGUAAUACGUAGGUGGCAAGCGUUGUCCGGAAUUACUGGGUGUAAAGGGAGCGCAGGCGGGAAGCCAAGUCAGCUGUGAAAUCCAGGGGCUCAACCCCUGAACUGCAUUUGAAACUGUCGUUCUUGAGUACUGAAGAGGG